UUAAGAGUCACCAGGUCACGCUGGUAUGUAAUUCUCACACGAAUUUAAUUUCCCACUUCACAUGUGUAUUUGUUCAAAGUACUAUGGGUAUUCUUCAGUACCGCUCCCAAAUCUCUGCUCACUUUUAUAUGCAAUACAUCCCAUCACAGUAUUUUGACACCGCUCUGCUUGUGCGGGACAACAGAUUGCUACUUAUCCAGUCACUCUUAUUAACAGAUGGAUAUGCUAUGCCUUUCCUGUGUGUGAGGUCUUGCUCUAGAAUGCUGCUUGUAAUCUUUUGCAUUGAAGAGUAUUUUUUGUACGCCCUCCGUUCCCUAUUAAUUGACUCUAAUUUAGUAUAAAGUUGUACUAAAUCUGAGUCAAUUAAUAGGGAACUGAGGGAGUAGUUUCAAAUAUUAGCCUAUGUGUGUCAUCUUCGUUUGAGAAUGCAUGGUUCUGGACUGGUCUAGUGAGAACCAGGCACUUCGCCACUUGCUUGUAAAUACUUAUUUACCUUGGUUAUGCAUUUUUUCGACCUGAAAUAUAAAUCUUCUGUUUAGGCAUAUGAUUCUUUUUUUCCUAUACGCUACAUUUGGUUAAAUGGUAUUUUCCGGGCACGAGAAGCCAUUCCAGUUAUUCUUAGAUGGUGUGAUAUUUGUCAGGCAUCCCCCAUGUGACUAGUUCUUUUGUUGCAUGAUUUUAUGGGCAUGUCAACAGAUGCUGGUAAUUUUUAUGAUGGGCCAGAGUCGAUGUUUGCCAGUUCUUAUGUUCGAUAUUUUACGGGAACAUUAGGCCAUGACAGUAGUUCUUGCAUGGCACAAUUUUAUGCACGUUAGAUCAAGGCAUCAUUUUUUCUGUGUCCACAAAUAUCCAUUGACCUCUUCCCAUCCUUAAUCAAAAUCUAAUUUCUACAACCGUUGCAUCAAAUAGAAAAUGCAUCUUCCAAUUGCAAGUGGUAACAAGAGUAUGCAUUAGAUGAUUAUUACAACAUAGUCUUGUUUGCUUUCAAAGAAUACACAUACUUUUCCGAAUCCUUUUUUGACCUUGAUGAGCAAUAAAUUUCCAGGAUUUUGCCUUGAAAUCGAGGGACGGAAGAAGAAGUAUGCAAGGGACUUGAACACGAAGAGCAAGUAUCUAGAGGCAAUGCUGCGGAGAUGGAAACAUUACAGUGUUAGUGCUCAUGUUGUACCUAGCUUGGUGUAGCCUGAGAUUGAUUAAAAAGCCGCACUCGAGCAGUCUUAUAUUUGUUUAACAAGAUGCUCCUGACAAAUGUGUAUGGAAAUUCUGCAUUGUGUAUUUUCAAAUGGGAAGCCAUACUGAACAGCUUCGAAGACCAUGGCAUUUGAUUGAUGCGCCCCUGUUGGGUUCAUGCUGAAACUCAAAUUAUACCAACUUGUCAUUCUUUUUUAUCUUAUUCUUCUUCUUUACUGUACAAUUUAUAUCAUUACCAGGCUAGCUACGACUUGCAAAAUUCCAGAGCUGUUUAGGAACCUAGUUGUGAGAGCCUGCUAUCGUAAUAAAUAAUUUUGUACCCAUUUUUCAUUCAUCUUUAAGACUGAGAGAUUUGAUU
Long non-coding RNA from Lolium rigidum, 1549 nucleotides. RefSeq lists it as uncharacterized. The transcript is spliced from 2 exons. The record is from RefSeq and is a predicted model, not a curated record. NCBI's taxonomy places the organism in Eukaryota, Viridiplantae, Streptophyta, Magnoliopsida, Poales, Poaceae.